Notolabrus celidotus (New Zealand spotty) is the source of this 837-nucleotide long non-coding RNA. RefSeq lists it as uncharacterized. The transcript has 3 exons. Lineage: Eukaryota; Metazoa; Chordata; Actinopteri; Labriformes; Labridae. The record is from RefSeq and is a predicted model, not a curated record.
UUCUGGUCCAGCUGGUUGGCUAACGUUAAGCAUGAAGUGAGGAGAGGAACACGCAUCCAGAAGAAGAAGAAGAAGAAGAACGCGCAUGCUCACCCUGAAAUCACACGCUCAAAGAUGGAGGAGGGGGCUAAUCUUUUAUUUACAGUCUAAGGGGCUAAUCAGGACUAGAUAGCUGAAGGCUAUCCGAAUGUCCUGAUAGCGUUGAACACGAACGCGACGACAAUGAAGUGAAAGCCCGGCAUCAUUGUUGUGACUAGUUCGGCUGCAGGGGACAGCGAGACAACAACUCUCUCGUGCAGUGUGCAGAUGGAAGCCCGGAGAGUGGGAGGCAUGUGCUUCUGAAAACUCCACAUCAUACCUUCACAUGCCUGCAGAGAGCCAUGAGGUCAGUGGGAGGUACCACAUGGACAAAGAGGACCUGAGGAGGAGCCUGGCAUUGUUGAAUGCACGAGAUGUGACUCUUCACUGCAUCAUCACUGACCGUCAAACACAAAUAGAGAAGUUCUUCUGAGGGAGCAGCAACACCCAAUAGCACGAUGUCUGGCACACGGAGAAAGCGACUGCUGCUCUUCACAGGCUUGAGAAGGUGCUGACAACAGUGAAGGAUGCUGAGAAACUUGAGCCCUCAUCACCACACUUCAUCUGAGGAGGUUUUUCACAUCAUCUCCUUCUGUCCCUUAAAAAUGUAGUCUUACCAUUUCUUGGAAUGCUGUACAGGUAAAUGAAACUGUAAUUACUUAGAACUUGUGAGAGGGUGUUGCCCAAGGUUUCUGUCAUUAAUACCAUUUUUAUUUUUCUCUGUACUGUACUUCAAGACUGAAAACGCUGACCAACCAC